Molecule: ribosomal RNA, 412 nt
Filed under: uncultured bacterium
Lineage: Bacteria
Description: bacterial SSU rRNA
Rfam family: Bacterial small subunit ribosomal RNA
Source: RNAcentral
CUCUAUGAUGGGGAUAACAGUUGGAAACGACUGCUAAUACCGAAUACGCUCAUGAUGAACUUUGUGAGGAAAGGUGGCCUCUGCUUGCAAGCUAUCGCAUAGAGAUGAGUCCGCGUCCCAUUAGCUAGUUGGUGGGGUAACGGCCUACCAAGGCAACGAUGGGUAGCCGAUCUGAGAGGAUGAUCGGCCACACUGGAACUGAAACACGGUCCAGACUCCUACGGGAGGCAGCAGUGGGGAAUAUUGCGCAAUGGGCGAAAGCCUGACGCAGCGACGCCGCGUGAGGGAUGAAGGUCUUCGGAUCGUAAACCUCUGUCAGAAGGGAAGAAACUAGGGUGCUCUAAUCAUCAUCCUACUGACGGUACCUUCAAAGGAAGCACCGGCUAACUCCGUGCCAGCAGCCGCGGUAAUA